This 293-nucleotide ribosomal RNA is filed under the name uncultured bacterium. Its description in RNAcentral is "partial 16S ribosomal RNA". It matches the Rfam family "Bacterial small subunit ribosomal RNA", at positions 8 to 283 of the family's 1533-position model. The record is from RNAcentral.
AGAGUUUGAUCAUGGCUCAGGAUGAACGCUAGCUACAGGCUUAACACAUGCAAGUCGAGGGGGCAGCAUCAUCAAAAGCUUGCUUUGAUGGAUGGCGACCGGCGCACGGGUGAGUAACACGUAUCCAACCUGCCGACAACACUGGGAUAGCCUUUACGAAAGAAAGAUUAAUACCGGAUGGCAUAGUUUUCCCGCAUGGGAUAAUUAUUAAAGUAAUUUCGGUUAGUCGUAGUGGGGAUGUCGUUCCAGUUAGGCAGGUUGGCGGGGUAACGGCCACCAAACCUACGAGUGGA